UGAUAGCACUUAAUUCAUAGGGUUGUCAAAGGAGAGAAUAUAUGUCACGCUCUUUGUAAACGUUAAAACUGUAUAUAAAUGGUAUAAAUAAAGCUAUAUGUAAUUGGUAUUAUGAUAUACCUUAAAAUAGUCAAAUUGCCCUAAUAGCCUCCCAGUUUUUCUCUCUCUCAAAACUCCAAAUUGCUAUAUCUUUACAUUUCUCACAGGUAUUAUUUUAAGUAGGGACCUAGAGGUGGACCAAAAGUCUUGUCAUCUAAGGACUGACUUGGCUACAUUUGUGAAGGCCUAGCACCGCAGGGUUGGCCACCAAGUGAUGGAUAUUUUUUUCAUUCACAGUGCAGCAGGAUUGCAUUCUGGUUCAGAGAGCUGAGAAUCCAGGCAUCUACCCAUGGAUACUUGGAGAACAGAACCCUCUACAGGGUGUCCACCCACUGUGCUGGCUGUGUUCCUCUAGAUCCCUUGACAUUAUGAUGAAAGAAUUCAUCACCAAGUAGCCAGCCUCCUGGCAAUGACCUUCUCCAGACUUUGGAAUCAAGAAGAUCUGAGUUUGAAUCGUCCUUCAGAUAGUGACUAGCUGUGUAA
Phascolarctos cinereus (koala) is the source of this 582-nucleotide non-coding RNA. NCBI's taxonomy places the organism in Eukaryota, Metazoa, Chordata, Mammalia, Diprotodontia, Phascolarctidae. The record is from RefSeq and is a predicted model, not a curated record.